This 632-nucleotide unclassified non-coding RNA is filed under the name Hevea brasiliensis (rubber tree). Lineage: Eukaryota; Viridiplantae; Streptophyta; Magnoliopsida; Malpighiales; Euphorbiaceae. The record is from RNAcentral.
ACAUUUAUUGAAGAUUUAAGUCCAAGAAAUGCCACCUUAAAUAUGUUGUUUAACAGUCUCAAGCCAUUUCCCAUGAAGUGCAUUGUACCAACUCACUCUAUAGUCAUUGAACAGGGGCCAGCAAUUGUUUGGGAUUAGGCAGUUAGCAACAUCAAUCCUGUGUUGUUGUGACAACAUACAGAACAUAACAUAUUCAUUUAGAACAAUAUAUAUUCUGCAUAUAUCUGUCAUUCAUCAUGGAUCACAUAAUCUUAGAACUAACCCAGGCCAUCCUCAUUGCUUUACUCUCAUUGCUCAAGUAAAGCAAAGAGAAUCUGCUUCAUUUCUCUUUGGGGGGAAAACUAACUCAACUACACCUUAAUCAAAAAUCAGUCAGGUCAAUUCUCACAAGCUAAAACCUUCAUAUCUUAUGGAUCCAUGAAAAAAUAGUAGUUAUUAUUUAUCCCAUUCCAAAACCUCACAUACUUUAGGUUGCAAUGACCACCACUACGAAAGUCCUAAAAUUUUUUUAUCCUUCAUAACAUUCAAAAAGCAAGAUAAGGAUUAAGCCCCAUAUUUUCCUAUGUUGUUUGAAAUGGAUAAAAAAGCCAAACUUCAACAACUCCUUUACCAUCCUAGGAGGCAACCAAAAA